GAUCAAGUGCCUUAAGAGCAUCUGGUGGAUGCCUUGGCGCUGAGAGGCGAUGAAGGACGUGGUACGCUGCGAUAAGCCUUGGGGAGCUGCGAACGAGCUUUGAUCCAAGGAUCUCCGAAUGGGGAAACCCACCUUCGACCUUCCGUAUGGCAGCAGCACAGCAGGCCUGGGGCACGACCCCGGCGGAUCUCACAAUCCGGGCCGGUGUGAGGCUUCCAUACGGUUGGUCAGAUGAAGGUAUCAGGCCCUGAAUUCAUAGGGGUUUGAAGCGAACCCGGGGAACUGAAACAUCUCAGUACCCGGAGGAAAGGACAUCAACGAGACUCCGUCAGUAGUGGCGAGCGAACGCGGAUCAGGCCAGCGCCUGAGGUGAGAUUACCGGAACGGUCUGGAAAGGCCGGCGAUAAGGGUGACAGCCCCGUACGGGACGAUCGAUCUUCAGGACACGAGUAGGGCGGGACACGUGAAAUCCUGUCUGAACAUGGGGGGACCACCCUCCAAGCCUAAGUACUCCUCAGCGACCGAUAGCGAACCAGUACCGUGAGGGAAAGGUGAAAAGCACCCCGACGAGGGGAGUGAAAUAGUACCUGAAACCGGAUGCUUACAAACAGUGGGAGCUCAAGGUUCGUCCUGAGUGACCGCGUACCUUUUGUAUAAUGGGUCAGCGACUUAAAGUUACGAGCAAGCUUAAGCCGAUAGGUGGAGGCGCAGCGAAAGCGAGUCUGAACAGGGCGUUCAGUUCGUGGCUUUAGACCCGAAACCGAGUGAUCUAGCCAUGUGCAGGAUGAAGGUGGGGUAACACCCACUGGAGGUCCGAACCAGUGCCCGUUGAAAAGGUCUUGGAUGACGUGUGGCUAGGGGUGAAAGGCCAAUCAAACUCGGAAAUAGCUGGUUCUCCGCGAAAGCUAUUUAGGUAGCGCCUCGCGUGUAUGUCCCAGGGGGUAGAGCACUGGAUGGGCUAGGGCCGCCCACAGCGGUACCAAACCCAACCAAACUCCGAAUACCUGGGAACUUGCGCGGGAGACACACGGCGGGUGCUAACGUCCGUCGUGGAGAGGGAAACAACCCGGACCGACAGCUAAGGCCCCCAAUUCGUGGCUAAGUGGGAAAGGAUGUGGGACUCCCAAAACAACCAGGAGGUUGGCUUAGAAGCAGCCAUCCUUUAAAGAAAGCGUAACAGCUCACUGGUCUAAAUAAGGGGUCCUGCGCCGAAAAUGUAACGGGGCUCAAGCCACGAGCCGAAGCUUCGGAUGCAUUCCGCAAGGGAUGCGUGGUAGCGGAGCGUUCUCUAAGCCGGUGAAGCGGUACCUGUGAGGGGCCGUGGAGGUAUGAGAAGUGCGAAUGCUGACAUGAGUAACGACAAAGAGUGUGAAAGACACUCUCGCCGAAAGUCCAAGGGUUCCUGCGUAAAGUUAAUCUGCGCAGGGUUAGCCGGCCCCUAAGGCGAGGCCGAAAGGCGUAGUCGAUGGGAACGGGGCAAA
RNAcentral lists this ribosomal RNA (1481 nucleotides) under Methylobacterium gregans. RNAcentral's name for it is "partial 23S ribosomal RNA". It matches the Rfam family "Bacterial large subunit ribosomal RNA", at positions 1 to 1433 of the family's 2925-position model. The record is from RNAcentral. Lineage: Bacteria; Pseudomonadati; Pseudomonadota; Alphaproteobacteria; Hyphomicrobiales; Methylobacteriaceae.